UGAGUCCUUAUGGACGAAGUCGAUGAUCCUAUGCUGCCGAGAAAAACCUCUAGCGAGCUAUGCGCCGCCCGUACCCCAAACCGACUCAGGUGAUCAGGUAGAGAAUACUAAGGCGAUCGAGUGAACUAUGGUUAAGGAACUCGGCAAAAUGCCCCCGUAACUUCGGGAGAAGGGGGGCCGGAUUUGUUAUUGCACUUGCUGCAAAAAGCAAUGAUGGCCGCAGAGACCAGGCCCAAGCGACUGUUUACUAAAAACACAGGUCCGUGCGAAGUUGUAAGACGAUGUAUACGGACUGACUCCUGCCCGGUGCUGGAAGGUUAAGGGGACCUGUUAGAUCUUCGGAUCGAAGCGGAGAACUUAAGCCCCAGUAAACGGCGGUGGUAACUAUAACCAUCCUAGGGUAGCGAAAUUCCUUGUCGGGUAAGUUCCGACCUGCACGAAUGGAGUAACGACUUGGGCGCUGUCUCAACCAUAGACUCGGCGAAAUUGCACUACGAGUAAAGAUGCUCGUUACGCGCGGCAGGACGGAAAGACCCCGGGACCUUUACUAUAGUUUGGUAUUGGUGUUUGGUUCGAUUUGUGUAGGAUAGGUGGGAGACUUUGAAGCUUGGACGCCAGUUCAGGUGGAGUCAACGUUGAAAUACCACUCUGAUCGUAUUAGACAUCUAACCUAGGUCCAUUAUCUGGAUCAGGGACAGUGCCUGAUGGGUAGUUUAACUGGGGCGGUUGCCUCCUAAAAUGUAACGGAGGCGCUCAAAGGUUCCCUCAGCCUGGUUGGUAAUCAGGUUUUGAGUGUAAGUGCACAAGGGAGCUUGACUGUGAGAGUGACAACUCGAGCAGGGACGAAAGUCGGAACUAGUGAUCCGGCGCUGGCAUGUGGAAGCGGCGUCGCUCAACGGAUAAAAGGUACCCCGGGGAUAACAGGCUGAUCUUCCCCAAGAGUCCAUAUCGACGGGAUGGUUUGGCACCUCGAUGUCGGCUCGUCGCAUCCUGGGGCUGGAGUAGGUCCCAAGGGUUGGGCUGUUCGCCCAUUAAAGCGGCACGCGAGCUGGGUUUAGAACGUCGUGAGACAGUUCGGUCCCUAUCCGCCGCGCGCGCAGGAAACUUGAGAAAGGCUGUCCCUAGUACGAGAGGACCGGGAUGGACGAACCUCUGGUGUGCCAGUUGUUCCGCCAGGAGCACGGCUGGUUAGCUACGUUCGGAAGUGAUAACCGCUGAAAGCAUCUUAGCGGGAAGCACGUUUCAAGAUGAGGUUUCCCACCGGGUUAACCGGGUAAGGCCCCCAGUAGACGACUGGGUUGAUAGGCCGGAGGUGUACAGCAGUAAUGCCUAGCCGACCGGUACUAAUAGGCCGAGGGCUUGUCCCA
RNAcentral lists this ribosomal RNA (1367 nucleotides) under metagenome. RNAcentral's name for it is "bacterial LSU rRNA". It matches the Rfam family "Bacterial large subunit ribosomal RNA", at positions 1570 to 2925 of the family's 2925-position model. The record is from RNAcentral.